Daphnia magna is the source of this 356-nucleotide long non-coding RNA. RefSeq lists it as uncharacterized. NCBI's taxonomy places the organism in Eukaryota, Metazoa, Arthropoda, Branchiopoda, Diplostraca, Daphniidae. The record is from RefSeq and is a predicted model, not a curated record. The transcript has 2 exons.
UUGGUUAUUCUUGCCUGAGACUCUCCAAGUUCGUUAAACUAAAAAGAAAUGGAUCAGGUUAUGACUUUUAUUGAACCUGGGCGUCAAUUCGCCAAAGAUUCUCUUCGUUUGGUUAAAAGGUGCACAAAACCAGAUCGGAAAGAAUUCCAAAAAAUUGCCAUGGCCACUGCUAUUGGCUUUGCCAUUAUGGGUUUCAUUGGAUUUUUCGUCAAGCUUAUCCACAUCCCCAUCAAUAAUAUCAUUGUUGGUUCCUAAUGGUGUUGUCCAUUAAACCAGAAAAAUUCCAGAAGUUUGGUACUUUGUGUGUAAUGUUUAAAGAAACACAUGAAAAUAAAUCUUGUUUACCCCUUAACAAA